This 253-nucleotide ribosomal RNA is filed under the name uncultured bacterium. RNAcentral's name for it is "partial 16S ribosomal RNA". It matches the Rfam family "Bacterial small subunit ribosomal RNA", at positions 524 to 776 of the family's 1533-position model. The record is from RNAcentral.
UACGUAGGGUGCGAGCGUUAAUCGGAAUUACUGGGCGUAAAGUGUGCGCAGGCGGCCGAGCAAGUCGAGUGUGAAAGCCCCGGGCUUAACUUGGGAAUUGCGCUCGAAACUACUUGGCUGGAGUGUGGCAGAGGAAGGUGGAAUUCCAGGUGUAGCGGUGAAAUGCGUAGAGAUCUGGAGGAACACCGAUGGCGAAGGCGGGUCUCUGGGCAACAACUGACGCUGAGGAGCGAAAGCGUGGGGAGCGAACAGG